CCUACGGGAGGCAGCAGUGGGGAAUAUUGCACAAUGGGGGAAACCCUGAUGCAGCGACGCCGCGUGAGUGAAGAAGUACCUCGGUACGUAAAGCUCUAUCAGCAGGGAAGAAAAUGACGGUACCUGACUACGAAGCACCGGCUAACUACGUGCCGGGAGCCGCGGUAAUACGUAGGGGGCAAGCGUUAUCCGGAUAUACUGGGUGGAAAGGGAGCGUAGUCGGGAGGCAAAGUCCGGAGGGAAAUGCCGGGGCCUAACCCCGGUAAAGCUUUGGAAACUGUACGGCUGGAGUGCAGGAGGGGACAGCGGAAUUCCAUGUGUAGCGGUGAAAUGCGUAGAUAUAAGGAGGAACACCAGUGGCGAAGGCGGCUGACUGGACUGUAACUGACGUUGAGGCUCGAAAGCGUGGGGAGCAAACAGGAUUAGAUACCCCUGUAGUC
Molecule: ribosomal RNA, 440 nt
Filed under: uncultured bacterium
Lineage: Bacteria
Description: partial 16S ribosomal RNA
Rfam family: Bacterial small subunit ribosomal RNA
Source: RNAcentral